AGUAACGGCGAGUGAAGCGGCAACAGCUCAAAUUUGAAAUCUGGCCUCCCGGCCCGAGUUGUAAUUUGUAGAGGAUGCUUCGAGCGUGGUCCGGUCUAAGUUCCUUGGAACAGGACGUCAUAGAGGGUGAGAAUCCCGUAUGCGACUGGGUGCCUAAGCUCAUGUGAAGCUCCUUCGACGAGUCGAGUUGUUUGGGA
This 197-nucleotide ribosomal RNA is filed under the name Flagellospora curvula. Its description in RNAcentral is "partial large subunit ribosomal RNA". It matches the Rfam family "Eukaryotic large subunit ribosomal RNA", at positions 82 to 279 of the family's 3401-position model. Lineage: Eukaryota; Fungi; Ascomycota; Leotiomycetes; Leotiales; Leotiaceae. The record is from RNAcentral.